GAGGCUCUUCGGAGUAGUAAAGUGGCAAACGGGUGAGGAAUGCAUGGGUAACCUACCCUUGAGAAGGGAAUAACCCGCCGAAAGGUGAGCUAAUACCCUAUACGCUACACUUUCUAUGGGAGGUGUGGGAAAGCUAAGCCGUGGGUUUGGCACUCAAGGAGGGGCUCAUGUCCUAUCAGCUUGUUGGUAGGGUAACGGCCUACCAAGGCAACGACGGGUAGCUGGUCUGAGAGGAUGAUCAGCCACACUGGCACUGAGAUACGGGCCAGACUCCUACGGGAGGCAGCAGUGAGGAAUAUUGCGCAAUGGGCGAAAGCCUGACGCAGCGACGCCGCGUGGGGGAUGAAGGUUCUCGGAUUGUAAACCCCUUUUGUGAGGAAAGAGAAAGUGGGUAACCACUUAGACGGUACCUCAAGAAAAAGCCACGGCUAACUUCGUGCCAGCAGCCGCGGUAAUACGAAGGUGGCGAGCGUUGUUCGGAUUUACUGGGCGUAAAGAGCACGUAGGCGGUUGGGUAAGCCUCUUGGGAAAGCUCCCGGCUUAACCGGGAAAGGUCGAGAGGA
This 563-nucleotide ribosomal RNA is filed under the name uncultured bacterium. RNAcentral describes it as "bacterial SSU rRNA". It matches the Rfam family "Bacterial small subunit ribosomal RNA", at positions 72 to 631 of the family's 1533-position model. The record is from RNAcentral.